GGGUCGGCAGCUCGCCUGGAGCCAGAGCCUUGCGGGAGCAACAAGGUCUGGGGAUCUGUGGGCGGGUGAGCCGGUGCCUGGCUGGGGCGGAGCCGCGGAUGGGCGGUCGCCCUGCACCCGCUGUGCCUGACGGCGACAAUCCCGAGCGAGAGGCCAGCUUUCCCCGUGCCAGCCUCCCGGGUGAGGACCGCUGCUUGAGGCGACAUCGCUGCCUGCCCGCGGAGCUUACCUGAGGUACAUCCUACCUGAGAGUGGCGGGUGACCAGCCAAGGGCAUCCUCCCUCCCAGCUCCGUCUGCCACACCCGCUUGGAGCACGUGCACUAGGCGGUGACCACAAGUUCAAUAUAGUUUUUAAACGGAUGAACAAGAAACGGGAUGUUCCAUGUAUACCAGAUGGAAUUACGUUUAUGUUUAAACAGUCUCCCAAUACGUUGAGGAACCUAAACGACCUUCCGGUGUUUAAACACCUGCUAAACCUUCUCUUCCUUGGGACUCGAGACUUUUACAGCUAAAUUGGUCAGCCUCCAGUUUCCCCGAUCCGAUCCAGUCUGGUGCUUUUCUGCUGACUUGGAACCUUUGGGAGACUAGACCCAGCUCAUUAUCCGGCAAAUAGUCCGUCUUUUAAAAAUACUUGGCUUCGUGAAACCAGAUACUUCAUGCAAGCUUAGCAAUGAUUCAGUAUUUUUCCCCGUGUCCCAAUGAACCAGUAAUGUUUUGACAUAUAUUUCUUUUUUAAAAAAGAGAAUUGAGAAAGAUUUUAUUUUCACGAUCCCUUCCCUCCCCGUUUUGGGUUUUUGGAUUAGUCACUUUAUCUUUGGACUUUAGUUUCCUCAUCAGAAAAACUGAAAGGAAAACAAAAAACAAAAACCUCCCAAAUGUUAGUAACAAAAAUAUUUACAAUAGUUACAAUUUUGAGGUACUUAAUAAAUAUGCUGACUACAUAAUAAACAUUUAAUACAUGGAAGUGACUCCAAGCCACAUCUAGCACACCAAUUCUGCCUCUCUUCCUGUUGACUGAAAAGAAAUACUCUUAUCACUUUUAAAAUAUCACAUCCUCAGAUGAAUGAGCACAUCUUAAAAGUCAUGUUCAAGCUCUGAUUAUAUACAAUCCAUAUUGACCUAAGCCAUAAGAACUAAAUCUCAGACUUGUGGAAGGACCUAUCCUACCCCCAAUCUCUUGAUUCUGGAACUAGUUCUUUGAAUGAAUGCAAGCUCAACUAGCUUCCAGAAAAACAUGGUGUGGUGACAAACAGCAUGCUUUUAUUUGUUUUCAAAUGUGUGUGGUGGUGUCUGGUCUCUGCACUUCUGGUGUCUUGGAGGCAAGAAGAGGGUGGCAGAUUCCUGAGAACUGUUCAAACAGUUGUGAGCCAUCCUGGGUGCUGGGAAGCACUUAGGUUCUCUGGAAGAACAGCCAGUGAUCAUAACCACUGAUUCAUCUUUUCGAAGGUGCUGCCUUUUUUAACACUGAAGGAAGAUUUGCGUCCUUAGAGUCAGUGAAAUCCAACAAAUAUCUGUGAUGGGUUCCUAUCUACUUUUGCUUUUACUGUUUUAGGGUAAACCCACAUGAAAAACUCAUGAAUUAAAAUUUAAAGUAGGGAGGCAAAAAGGUCUAGGAGAUUCUUGCCGAUGAAAAGUUGUAUGAGACUUUCCCCUGGCCAAAUACUGUUUGGGGUAACUGAUUUCCAAAUGAGCCUAAUCUUGGGGACAUAAAGUUUUGUGUAUCUUGUUAACUGCCACACCUUCAGUACCAGAGCAAUGCUUGUUGCUGUCCUGUAAGAGCACAUUAACUAUUUGCUGGCUGGCUGGCUGGAUUGUUUUCAAGGAUAGGGCUCAAGAAGUAGGAUAAAACUGUGGCUUAUGCCUGAUGGCAUCGAUGGUUCUCAGAAGGAAGAUCUAUAAAACAGUACAAAGUCUCAGGUGCAGAGGAAGCAGUGAACACUGUGCACUGAGCAUCCCAGCAGCCACCUCAGCCAGACAAUGCAAAUUUUCUUUAAAUACGACUAAAAAAAGCAUGAACUAGAAAAGUUAGAAAGACAGUAAAUUUAACUUUACAUUAAUAAAUUGGACAUAAAAAUGGGACGUUUUUUUCCUAUUCAUAACGAAAGGCAAGACAUGGGUUAGGAAAAAUUACAUAUAUAUGUACACAUAUGUGUAUAUAUACACAUAUUAUCUCCAACAAAGAACUUAUUUCUUGAAUUUUAUAUGCUUUCAUAGCUCAUUAAGACAAACAACCAAAUUUAAAAAGGAGUAAACUACAUGAACCACCCAACAAAAAUACCAGGGUAUCAAAUAGUUACACGAAUACAUGAGUCGCCAUGACAAAGCACAUUAAAAUACCAAAUGCUCAGUGCAUUUCAAACUUCCUACAGUAACGUGUGGUAAGGCCUUGAGGCCUCCAAAUGAGAUUCAGGGAUUUAAGAAUACUCACUUUCUUCCCAACUGCCACUGUUAUUCUACAGCCCUUCAUGUGUCUGUAGUCUCCUUCCUGUGUUAGGGAAGACACACCACUAAAAAAUGACAGCCCCCACCAGUCGUUUCUAGAAUGACUUGUGUUUGGAUCACCAGCAACAAACACAAUAUAAAACAUGGGCUGUAAGAACACAUGGAGCCAAGGCUGAAGGCUCUCUACUACUCUCCAUAAGCCAAGGUACCCACCCAAAGGUCCUUACCUGCUUCUGUCUUGUCAGACAUAACUAACCUUCCUAGUCCUUACGAUGCAAAGGAUAAGUCCCAUUAAUGUAAGUCUUAUAAAGGAUGACUUUGCUGCUUUCCCAGUGGCAUGAGAAAAUGAGCCAGUGAGACAUGAAGCCUGAAUUGCAAGGGCAUCCAGAGGAAGAUUUCUUUGUUUUAGAAAGAAACACUGUAAGGGGAAAAAAAAGUCCUUCUAUCUUCUGACAUGGCUGCUUUGAAGGAUUGCUUCUUUCAUGUUCUCUGCAUAUCUUCCCAAGCGUGUAAACCUUCCUCAGCCUAGAGUCAAAACAAUGUCUGGGAAAUGAGAGUCCGUUUAGUAUUCCAAUGCAUCAUUACUGAAGUGAUAUUGACAGCAGCCUGGUAAAGCAUGGCCGAGGCUUAGAACUUCUAAGUACGAUCUUUCACUAUAUCGUUAACCUCUAAACCCUAACUGCCGUAAGAUUCUAGCAUCAAAGGCAAGAGGGAAGAUUGUUCAACCAGUACUAAAAAGGCUAUCUGUACUGGCUAGUUUUGUGUGUCAACUUGACACAAGCUGGAGUUAUCACAGAGAAAGGAGCCUCCCUUGAGGAAAUGCCUCCAUGAGAUUCAGCUGUAAGGCAUUUUUCUCAAUUAGUGAUGAAGGGUGGGAGGGCCCAUUCCUGGGCUGGUAGUCCUGGGUUCUAUAAGAAGCAACGGAUUGCUAAGUCUUUCAAAAUAAAAAAACAAACACCUUCUGUG
RNAcentral lists this long non-coding RNA (3409 nucleotides) under Mus musculus (house mouse). RNAcentral's name for it is "long non-coding RNA chr4:126429601-126433010". Lineage: Eukaryota; Metazoa; Chordata; Mammalia; Rodentia; Muridae. The record is from RNAcentral.